This 677-nucleotide long non-coding RNA is filed under the name Sus scrofa (pig). RNAcentral describes it as "lncRNA (ENSSSCG00015073930.1)". Lineage: Eukaryota; Metazoa; Chordata; Mammalia; Artiodactyla; Suidae. The record is from RNAcentral.
GCACUAGAUGCCGGCCGAUGACGCAACUAAUAAUAAUGGCAUGGCUUUGGAGCGCCCCACUCCAGUGACAAACAAUCGGGGUGAAGAAGAAGAAGAUUGCAUAGGAUGCUGCUUCCGGAUCCAAAGGAACAAUCGACAGACGUCACAAAGAUCCACCUCUGGCUGCAUCAGAAAGUUAUGCUCCUGGCGCCACCAGCGAGUGCACCCCGCUAAUGGGUCGGGGACAGAAGAAACCCCGGGCUCCCAUGAAAGGCUGCCCAGCACCGCAGGAGGAAUAGAGGCUCCAAGUGGCUGCACAAUGCCGGCCGAUGACGCAACUAAUAAUAAUGGCAUGGCUUUGGAGCGCCCCACUCCAGUGACAAACAAUCGGGGUGAAGAAGAAGAAGAUUGCAUAGGAUGCUGCUUCCGGAUCCAAAGGAACAAUCGACAGACGUCACAAAGAUCCACCUCUGGCUGCAUCAGAAAGUUAUGCUCCUGGCGCCACCAGCGAGUGCACCCCGCUAAUGGGUCGGGGACAGAAGAAACCCCGGGCUCCCAUGAAAGGCUGCCCAGCACCGCAGGAGGAAUAGAGGCUCCAAGUGGCUGCACAAUGCCGGCCGAUGACGCAACUAAUAAUAAUGGCAUGGCUUUGGAGCGCCCCACUCCAGUGACAAACAAUCGGGGUGAAGAAGAAGAAG